RNAcentral lists this ribosomal RNA (57 nucleotides) under Rubus palmensis. Its description in RNAcentral is "partial 26S ribosomal RNA". It matches the Rfam family "Eukaryotic large subunit ribosomal RNA", at positions 1 to 57 of the family's 3401-position model. Lineage: Eukaryota; Viridiplantae; Streptophyta; Magnoliopsida; Rosales; Rosaceae. The record is from RNAcentral.
CGACCCCAGGUCAGGCGGGGUUACCCGCUGAAUUUAAGCAUAUCAGUAAGCGGAGGA